AAAUCCCCUUGGACUACUGCUUUAUUUUUCUCUCUCAUUUUAAACAUAAUGACAAGAAACAUAUCAGCAUGAUCCUUUUUCUCUUUCUUUCGAGGCUCUACUUGACAAUGAGACAGACAGCAAAGGCAGCGGGGAAAAAGAAACCCAACUUAAUUCCCAGCUCCCCUCAAACUGGGGCCUGGGCUAAGCCAACAGCUUGAACCCCCAGCACAUACAGUCCAUACACCACUUAUUUGCAUACUGUCCCGCAGAGUUCGCUAAUUCUGACAAUUUUACAUGUGUUGUGAGCAACGCUUUCCUAAGGUCUCCGACAUCGGGGCAUGGUUCACACCUCUCACAUAUCCCACGUACAGCCUCGCCUGGAGAAACUGUCCAGGUAUUUGGUUUAAUUAGAAGCUAGUUUAGAUCUGAAGAGCA
This is a non-coding RNA of Vicugna pacos (alpaca), 417 nucleotides long. Lineage: Eukaryota; Metazoa; Chordata; Mammalia; Artiodactyla; Camelidae. The record is from RefSeq and is a predicted model, not a curated record.